GAUGCACGAACUCUCCAACGACA
Molecule: non-coding RNA, 23 nt
Filed under: Arabidopsis thaliana (thale cress)
Lineage: Eukaryota; Viridiplantae; Streptophyta; Magnoliopsida; Brassicales; Brassicaceae
Source: RNAcentral